CUUGUCAGGAGGAAGAGCUGAUGCAUGAAGCAAACCGAGCUCUAAAGAACCAGCUCCAUCCAUUGGGCACACACGAACAAUGAACUUAGGUGCAUCACCAAUAUCAUCACCGCUGCAACCUGAGAUGCUAUGAAAUAAAGCUUUGGUGUGAUUAAAUCCAGAAUCUGAAAUAUGCCAUAAAACUGAGAGCCUGGGCCUCGUUUAGACAAGGAGGAUCGAGGAGACUUUGUCAAAAUGAUGUUAUUUAAGCUGAGUGUGCCAGCAUUAUAGGAUUUAGCCAAGUAAAGACUGAAGAACACUGAGAGAAAUCUACCCAGCGUAUCGGAUACACACAUUGCUGUUCAUCCAGCUGGUAAUAUAUUUUGCUCCUUUCCAAGACUCUAAUUUAUUAGCAGAUGCAGAAAAACAAGCCCUGUCGGUCAGUGGUCACAAACGACCAAGAGGGAUGAUCGAUGCAUUGCUCUGGGAGGCUAAGGUCACAGGGUAUGAACGAAAAAGUGCGACACGUGGAUUAAGCAAAC
Molecule: long non-coding RNA, 521 nt
Filed under: Vulpes vulpes (red fox)
Lineage: Eukaryota; Metazoa; Chordata; Mammalia; Carnivora; Canidae
Description: lncRNA (ENSVVUG00000009293.1)
Source: RNAcentral